GAUGAACGCUGGCGGCGUGCCUAAUACAUGCAAGUCGAGCGAACGGACGAGAAGCUUGCUUCUCUGAUGUUAGCGGCGGACGGGUGAGUAACACGUGGAUAACCUACCUAUAAGACUGGGAUAACUUCGGGAAACCGGAGCUAAUACCGGAUGAUAUUUUGAACCGCAUGGUUCAAAAGUGAAAGACGGUCUUGCUGUCACUUAUAUAUGGAUCCGCGCUGCAUUAGCUAGUUGGUAAGGUAACGGCUUACCAAGGCAACGAUGCAUAGCCGACCUGAGAUGGUGAUCGGCCACACUGGAACUGAGACACGGUCCAGACUCCUACGGGAGGCAGCAGUAGGGAAUCUUCCGCAAAGGGCGAAAGCCUGACGGAGCAACGCCGCGUGAGUGAUGAAGGUCUUCGGAUCGUAAAACUCUGUUAUUAGGGAAGAACAUAUGUGUAAGUAACUGUGCACAUCUUGACGGUACCUAAUCAGAAAGCCACGGCUAACUACGUG
RNAcentral lists this ribosomal RNA (497 nucleotides) under uncultured bacterium. Its description in RNAcentral is "partial 16S ribosomal RNA". It matches the Rfam family "Bacterial small subunit ribosomal RNA", at positions 28 to 507 of the family's 1533-position model. The record is from RNAcentral.